This 433-nucleotide ribosomal RNA is filed under the name uncultured bacterium. RNAcentral's name for it is "partial 16S ribosomal RNA". It matches the Rfam family "Bacterial small subunit ribosomal RNA", at positions 29 to 507 of the family's 1533-position model. The record is from RNAcentral.
AACGAACGCUGGCGGCAUGCCUAACACAUGCAAGUCGAACGAGACCUUCAGGUCUCGUGGCGCAUGGCUGCGUAACGCGUGAGGGCCUGCCCUUGGGUUCGGAAUAACUCGCCGGAAGGGGUUCUCAUCCCGAAUCGGGUCUUAGUACCGAAUAUCGAUCGCCUUUGAAUGGGCGCGCGUUGGGUUCGCCAGGUGGUAGGGUAAGAGCCUAUCAAGUCGACUAUCCAUAGCUGGUCUGGGAGGCUGAUCAGACACACUGGGACUGAGACACGGCCCAGACUCCUGCGGGAGGCGGGAGUGGGGAAUAUUGGCAAAUGGGGGAAAGCAUGAUCCAGCAAUGCCGCGUGAGUGAUGAAGGCCUGAGGGUAGUAAAUAUCGUUUACCCGUGAUGAUAAUGACAGUACCGGGAGAAGAAGCUCCGGCUAACUCCGUG